CCCUGUGAGGAGGGUGACAGCUGGAGGCGGGAAACCCCUUCCUGGCCGUGGAGGGGCGUCGUCUUGUUUGUCGGCAAAGCUGUCCCCGUUUAAUUGGUUGCAGAUUCUGACUUGCACAAGUAGCAUUC
This is a non-coding RNA of Myotis davidii, 128 nucleotides long. NCBI's taxonomy places the organism in Eukaryota, Metazoa, Chordata, Mammalia, Chiroptera, Vespertilionidae. The record is from Rfam.